CCGGUCACCCCGUUAACACCACAGAACCCCCAUCACACCCUAAAGCCAAAUCCACUAACCCCUAACCUCGAAUCAAACAGAACCUUCUUGAAUCGUCAUUUGAAGAUUCGAGCCCAGAUUCAACUCACACCAAAUCACCCUAAAUCAAUACCAAGCACUCCCCUAACAUCUCUCGUACCUAAACCAACAAGGUUUUGGUUCGAAUAUGACCUGAAAAGGUCGAACCCUAAAAGUGACUGUAUGAGCCCUAGAAAAUCCAAGGUUUGGAGUCUGGCCAAGUUAAGUGGAAAUUGAGGUCCAAAGGACUCUAUUCUAGGUGUUCUCAACUGAGAACACCCCGAGUUGCC
This 347-nucleotide long non-coding RNA is filed under the name Nicotiana benthamiana. RNAcentral's name for it is "long non-coding RNA (NBEN_LNC021100)". Lineage: Eukaryota; Viridiplantae; Streptophyta; Magnoliopsida; Solanales; Solanaceae. The record is from RNAcentral.